GACGAACGCUGGCGGCGUGCCUAAUACAUGCAAGUUGAGCGCUGAAGGUUGGUACUUGUACCAACUGGAUGAGCAGCGAACGGGUGAGUAACGCGUGGGGAAUCUGCCUUUGAGCGGGGGACAACAUUUGGAAACGAAUGCUAAUACCGCAUAAAAACUUUAAACACAAGUUUUAAGUUUGAAAGAUGCAAUUGCAUCACUCAAAGAUGAUCCCGCGUUGUAUUAGCUAGUUGGUGAGGUAAAGGCUCACCAAGGCGAUGAUACAUAGCCGACCUGAGAGGGUGAUCGGCCACAUUGGGACUGAGACACGGCCCAAACUCCUACGGGAGGCAGCAGUAGGGAAUCUGCGGCAAUGGACGAAAGUCUGACCGAGCAGCGCCGCGUGAGUGAAGAAGGUUUUCGGAUCGUAAAACUCUGUUGGUAGAGAAGAACGUUGGUGAGAGUGGAAAGCUCAUCAAGUGACGGUAACUACCCAGAAAGGGACGGCUAACUACGUG
RNAcentral lists this ribosomal RNA (497 nucleotides) under uncultured bacterium. RNAcentral describes it as "partial 16S ribosomal RNA". It matches the Rfam family "Bacterial small subunit ribosomal RNA", at positions 28 to 507 of the family's 1533-position model. The record is from RNAcentral.